CAGCCGCCACGGGAAUACGUAGGGUGCAAGCGUUGUCCGGAAUUAUUGGGCGUAAAGAGCUCGUAGGCGGUUUGUCGCGUCUGCUGUGAAAUCCCGAGGCUCAACCUCGGGCUUGCAGUGGGUACGGGCAGACUAGAGUGCGGUAGGGGAGAUUGGAAUUCCUGGUGUAGCGGUGGAAUGCGCAGAUAUCAGGAGGAACACCGAUGGCGAAGGCAGAUCUCUGGGCCGUAACUGACGCUGAGGAGCGAAAGCGUGGGGAGCGAACAGGAUUAGAUACCCGGUAGUCCCUGUCUCUUAUACA
This 301-nucleotide ribosomal RNA is filed under the name uncultured bacterium. RNAcentral's name for it is "partial 16S ribosomal RNA". It matches the Rfam family "Bacterial small subunit ribosomal RNA", at positions 509 to 808 of the family's 1533-position model. The record is from RNAcentral.